ACAUGGCGAACGGGUGAGUAAUACUUCGGAACUUCCAUUAAGUUUGGAAUAUCCUCCCGAAAGGGAGAGCAAUACCAAAUGUGAUCGCAAGAUUAAAGUCGCAAGACGCUUAAUGCAAGGCCGGAGCCCCAUCAGCUAGUUGGUAGGGUAAAAGCCUACCAAGGCUAUGACGGGUAGCGGGACCGAGAGGUUGAUCCGCCACACUGGGACUGCGACACGGCCCAGACUCCUACGGGAGGCAGCAGUUUGGAAUUUUGGACAAUGGGCGAAAGCCUGAUCCAGCGACGCCGCGUGCACGAAGAAGGCCUUCGGGUUGUAAAGUGCUUUUGCGUGGGACUAAUUUUGAAUGUACCACGAGAAUAAGAGGUUGCUAACUCUGUGCCAGCAGCAGCGGUAAUACAGAGACCUCAAGCGUUAUCCGGAAUCAUUGGGCGUAAAGCGUGCCGAUAGGUGGUUGUGAAAGUUUUGGGUAAAAGCCAGAAGCUUAACUUCUGAGUUUGCUCAAAAUACUGCACGACUAGAGGGGCAAAGAGGUCCUUGGAACGAACGGUGUAGUAGUGAAAUGCGUUGAUAUCGUUCGGAACACCGAAAGCGAAGGCAGAGGACUGGGUGCCACC
RNAcentral lists this ribosomal RNA (617 nucleotides) under uncultured bacterium. Its description in RNAcentral is "bacterial SSU rRNA". It matches the Rfam family "Bacterial small subunit ribosomal RNA", at positions 93 to 740 of the family's 1533-position model. The record is from RNAcentral.